UGGUUGAUGUUCAGUAAGGAUGUUACAAGU
RNAcentral lists this non-coding RNA (30 nucleotides) under Rattus norvegicus (Norway rat). Lineage: Eukaryota; Metazoa; Chordata; Mammalia; Rodentia; Muridae. The record is from RNAcentral.